AAAGUACUCCCUCCGUUCCGAAUUACUUGUUUUAGAUUUGUCUAAGUAUGAAUGUAUCUAGACACAUUUUAGUGUUAGAUACAUCCGUAUAGUGUUAGAUAUAUCCGUAUCUAAACAAAUAUAAGAUAAGUAAUUUGAGACAGAGGUAAUAUGCA
Triticum urartu is the source of this 155-nucleotide non-coding RNA. The record is from Rfam. NCBI's taxonomy places the organism in Eukaryota, Viridiplantae, Streptophyta, Magnoliopsida, Poales, Poaceae.